CGGAUCCGCGGCCGCUGCAGAGUUUGAUCCUGGCUCAGGAUGAACGCUGGCGGUAUGCUUAACACAUGCAAGUCGAACGGAAGUCUUCGGACUUUAGUGGCGGACGGGUGAGUAACGCGUGAGAACCUACCCUUAGGAUGGGGAUAACAGCUGGAAACGGCUGCUAAUACCCGAUGUGCCGAGAGGUGAAAGAUUUAUUGCCUGAGGAAGGGCUCGCGUCCGAUUAGCUAGUUGGAGUGGUAAUGGCACCCCAAGGCGACGAUCGGUAGCUGGUCUGAGAGGAUGAUCAGCCACACUGGGACUGAGACACGGCCCAGACUCCUACGGGAGGCAGCAGUGGGGAAUUUUCCGCAAUGGGCGCAAGCUUGACGGAGCAAUACCGCGUGCGGGAGGACGGCCUUUGGGUUGUAAACCGCUUUUCUCAGGGAAGAAGUUCUUACGGUACCUGAGGAAUCAGCAUCGGCUAACUCCGUGCCAGCAGCCGCGGUGAUACGGGGGGUGCAAGCGUUAUCCGGGGUUGUUGGGCGUGGGGGGUCCCGGGG
RNAcentral lists this ribosomal RNA (542 nucleotides) under uncultured bacterium. Its description in RNAcentral is "partial 16S ribosomal RNA". It matches the Rfam family "Bacterial small subunit ribosomal RNA", at positions 1 to 575 of the family's 1533-position model. The record is from RNAcentral.